This 71-nucleotide transfer RNA is filed under the name Cordylochernes scorpioides. RNAcentral describes it as "tRNA-Gly". Lineage: Eukaryota; Metazoa; Arthropoda; Arachnida; Pseudoscorpiones; Chernetidae. The record is from RNAcentral.
UGCAUCGCCCGGGAAUCGAACCCGGGCCUCCAGCGUGGCAGGCGAGCAUUCUACCACUGAACCACCGAUGG